CUGGACGCAAAGAACAGUCAGCACUCCGGGCUGUCAUCAAGUGCAUUGAAGAAUACAAACUGGAAGCUGAGUUCCCUCCAGAAAACCUUAAGAAGCGCCUUGAACAGCUAGAGAAAGCAAAAACUGACAAGAAAAGGCCAGCUGCAGUCCCUGCCAACAAACGAACACGAGCAAGCAAUGGUGGGCCCAUGCCUCCAGCCAAGGCUGGCCGCUUGACAAAUGCAUACGUAUCAUCUUUCCCAGCUGCUCCUACAUUCAUCCGGUCUCCCUCUCACACUCAGUACCCUGCUGCAGUCCCUGCAUACCCAUAUGACAGGCCAGCUGCACCUGCCAUGUAUGGCAGCAGGAGUCCACCAGCCAACCCUUAUGCUUACUCGCCGGAAGCUGCCCCUCCUCUUGCUGGAUCAUAUCCUGGAGCUCCCAUCAACUAUCCUGCAUAUGGAGGCUAUGGCAAUGGUAUGGCACCAGCUUAUCAGCAGGCUUACUACUGAUAAUAGACAUGACUACUCUGAAGAUGGUAACACUGAUAUGAUGAUGACCCC
This 542-nucleotide long non-coding RNA is filed under the name Vitis vinifera (wine grape). RNAcentral describes it as "long non-coding RNA (VVIN_LNC001346)". Lineage: Eukaryota; Viridiplantae; Streptophyta; Magnoliopsida; Vitales; Vitaceae. The record is from RNAcentral.